UACUGAGUGAUCUAAUUACAAAGGAACAUCUAGAAAGAACCUCCCCAUGGAUGGCAAUGAACCAAAUUUUUGUUUACUUGAAAUGGGGCACCAUAUCUAGCCAAAGAAUCUUUUGCUAGAUGCUACACAAACAUGAAUGUACGUGCAAUCCAUGAAGCAGGAAGUAACCUCCUUUUACCCCAAAGAAGGGAGGAAAAAAGAAAAAAAGGACAUGCAAGA
This 219-nucleotide long non-coding RNA is filed under the name Elaeis guineensis (African oil palm). Its description in RNAcentral is "long non-coding RNA (EGUI_LNC021130)". Lineage: Eukaryota; Viridiplantae; Streptophyta; Magnoliopsida; Arecales; Arecaceae. The record is from RNAcentral.